UCACCCAUAAAAUAACUACCUAAGCGUUUGCUUUGAUAGCAAACUUGAUGACUCUGUUUCUUCCCCAUUCACUGAUAAUAAUCCAUCUGCUGCUUGAAGUUUGAACAGCACAGCUGCACCGAGUUACAAUACAGGCCCCCAUGCUCUCCAUCCUCUUCUUCUCCACCAUCUUCCUCACUCUCUCCCUCCUCUCUCUCCUCUUCCUCUCCUCUCUCUACACCAACAAGCUCCGUAGCCCCCGCCCCGAGUCCAACCCAUACACAGCAGCACUCAAAGACGACAGCAUCAACCCAUCAGCUCCAGAACUGUCAUUAGCGGAAUCCGAGGGCCUGUCUGGCCAACUGGACCGGGCUCAGGGCCAGGGCCCCAAAAGGAAGAAGAAGAGGGCAGGAAGAAGAGCAAGAGGCCGGACUUGGAUAAGGAAGAAGAGCAGAAUGUGGUGGGAUCCAGGUUGAGUGCUGAUUUGGGUUUUCGGGACAAGCCCGACCUGAUUUGCCUGUACCCUUUUACCUCCUUGGGUAGUGCCACUCAGAGGAGGAUCAAACAGCUGUAGGACGAGCUCUUGAAGUUCCACGAUUAUAAGGGGCUGACACUUGCUCAGGUCGGUACCCUUUCUUGAACAUUGUCACCUGAUUCCUCUUCCACAACGGGGUAGAACUUGAUUUUGUAUCCACUUAGUGUAAUUUGUUUAUAAUGUUGUGAGGUGAGAGGACGCGAAGCAGAUGCCUUUGAAGGGUGAUGAGAUUGCUUCUGCAAUUGGCCUUCAUUCAUGUUCCCGUCUUUCAUGUCAGCUGAAAUGUGGAAAUUAUGAAUCUUUUGUCUGCAAAAAGAUGGUUUUUCUGCUGGCAUUUUGAAGAAUCAGGUUGCUUCUUCUCGUGAUAGAUGAAGGAGCUGUGCAUCUACUCCAAAACCUUCGCCAGGACUAGAUAGAAUACAGCAUAGGCGUUUCUUAUGUGCACUGAUGAGUUUCUUCUCUUGGAGAUGGGGGCCUAUGGCUAGAAACCUUUCUAAUCUUUGGAGGCAGAAUAUGGAGGACAAGAUGACCUUUUGAAUAGGUCCCAAGUGCAUCUCUGCUCUGUAAAGAAAACUGAGCAACUUGAGCAACUUGAAAAGCACUAUUAUCUUAAUAAAAGCCUCAUGCUCCACUUUCUACUUGGCGAUUUGCGCUGGCCAGAACUCAUGCACCGUGCCCGUGACUCCAGAGAUAUUUGGCGGAGACCCAUGCCCAAGCGUAAUGAAGAAGCUCUCUGCUGAGGUCAUUUGCAGCUGAGAAAACAAACCACGAAAUUCCCACUUAUUGAAGAGCUAUGGCUUGAGAAAAACCAAGUUCCCCUUUUUACCACCUCGGUAAUUUACUAGCUCGAAUCCGUUGUCCUUGGAGUCAUGCAGGGUUCAGCAUCUACAGAGGUGAAGUCGUACAAAAUUACCCUGACACAACACACACUCUUGUCUGCAUGAAUCCUCUCACUGAUUCUGAAGAUGAUGGUGGAUUAUACAUUAGGAUAUAUACAAACAUAUAUGUAUAUAUAUAUGUGCUCGUCAUUCCUUAUCGUAUGAGGAGUUGAGGGAUUUGAUGUGAACAAAGCACAUUGAGACAACCAACUGGAGUCCAUGUGCUUUGUAGGUUUUAGGAAAGCCUCUUAUUUCCUUAGGAAGUCUUAAUGGUUUCUCAAUCAUGUGGAAGAUUGGUUUCCCUAAGAAUCAAUUGUUUGAUUUGCUUAUGUUGUAUUGAAGAAUUGUUUCAGCUGGUAAUCAAACGACGCCAAUUGCUUCGUUUUA
Punica granatum (pomegranate) is the source of this 1779-nucleotide non-coding RNA. The record is from RefSeq and is a predicted model, not a curated record. NCBI's taxonomy places the organism in Eukaryota, Viridiplantae, Streptophyta, Magnoliopsida, Myrtales, Lythraceae.